AUGAUAAUAAUACAUUUUCCACACAUCUCUUUUUAUUCUCACAGAAAGCUUACCACCAGUUACAGAGUCAUGGCCACGUUAUCUAACCCAGGAGCUGUAUCCUUCACUGCAGUUCUCAAGGAAAGAGCACACUUUGGGAGUUUGAAAUAUAAGAGUUCUAGUACUCUCUUACACUCUUUAAAAAAGUCACUCGACAGCUUUCUCCUGUCAGAUUUUCCUACUGAAAAGAGCUCAUUGGAAAACAAGAAUGGAAAAGCCAUGGGUUACCUCCUGAAUGUCUGGGGACCCCACCGACUCCCUGGAGGCUUGACUCCAUGCUGAUGGUUCACAUACGAACUUGGCCGUCUUGGGAUCUGCACCAACUCCAGCAGUUAAUUGGAGCAUUUGUCUGAAUGGGCAUCCAAAGGGGAAUAGAAUAUCUUUCCUUAAAAAAAAAAAAAGAAUAUCUUUCCUUCAUUGCACUUGAUCCAAAAUUAUACUGCCCAGG
Molecule: long non-coding RNA, 487 nt
Filed under: Vulpes vulpes (red fox)
Lineage: Eukaryota; Metazoa; Chordata; Mammalia; Carnivora; Canidae
Description: lncRNA (ENSVVUG00000014576.1)
Source: RNAcentral